CCUACGGGAGGCAGCAGUGAGGAAUAUUGGUCAAUGGACGCAAGUCUGAACCAGCCAUGCCGCGUGCAGGAAGACGGCUCUAUGAGUUGUAAACUGCUUUUGUACGAGGGUAAACGCAGAUACGCGUAGGUGUCUGAAAGUAUCGUACGAAUAAGGAUCGGCUAACUCCGUGCCAGCAGCCGCGGUAAUACGGAGGAUUCAAGCGUUCUCCGGAUGUAUUGGGUUUAAAGGGUGCGUAGGCGGUCGGAUUCGGUAGAGGUGCAAGCCCGAGGAUCAACUUCGGAAUUGCCUCUGCUACUGGUCGGCUAGAGCGUAGUUGCUGUCGGCGGCAUGUAUGGUGUAGCGG
This 346-nucleotide ribosomal RNA is filed under the name uncultured bacterium. RNAcentral's name for it is "partial 16S ribosomal RNA". It matches the Rfam family "Bacterial small subunit ribosomal RNA", at positions 338 to 681 of the family's 1533-position model. The record is from RNAcentral.